Molecule: unclassified non-coding RNA, 1841 nt
Filed under: Homarus americanus (American lobster)
Lineage: Eukaryota; Metazoa; Arthropoda; Malacostraca; Decapoda; Nephropidae
Description: zinc finger and BTB domain-containing protein 7B- like, transcript variant X30
Source: RNAcentral
UACAUUUGCUUAAUUCAUUUAUUCCUUUGCCACCACACUGUCUUAUUGAAUUGAAAAUGUUUAAAAAAUGGAUUAGAGUAUGUUAUAAUAGUUGAUAUGGGAGAAGUGUAAGUAUUUAUGGAGAAUUAAGGCAAAGUUUGUUUGUGAGGCACCUCAGAGAAAGGACCAAUCAGGAGCGAGAAGCUGGCGGCAUCAGUCGGGAGAGGAGCGCAGUCAACGCCAACUGCAGCGGGAAUUACAAUGUUCCCUCAUAUAUCGUGAUAUUAAUGUGUGGCAAGAUGGCAGAGGAGCUUCUCUCCUUAAAGUGGAAUAACCACCAGGCACACUUUGUGGACAUCCUCACUUUCCUGCGGGAACAGGAAAUAUUUGUGGAUGCCACAUUGGCCUGUGGUGGGAAGCUUUAUGCAGCACAUAAAUUUGUUCUCAGUACCUGUAGUGACUAUUUCAAGCAGAUGUUUACAAAAAAUCCUAGUAAACAUCCUAUAGUGUUUAUGAAAGAUGUGACAUCACGUGAUCUAGAAGCACUCUUGGACUUCAUGUAUAAUGGUGAAGUGAAUGUUCCUCAGUCUAGUCUAGGAUCUUUAAUUAAAACAGCAGAAGGACUACAGAUAAAAGGUUUAGCAGUGCCUGAUGAUCCACCUGCUCCUAAAAGAGAACGAGAUAGAGAACGAGAUAAAAGAGAAAGCAAAACACAUUUGGAACACCUUAGUCCCCCUGCCAAAAGACCAAGACCAAGAGAAAGAUCUCCUCCUCAUUCAUCUCCAUCCCAACCUACAGUUUCACACCCAUUAUCUUCACACACCUCAACCACACCUUCAGUGUCCAGAUCUCGAUCCCCAUUACCCCCAGUCCCCUCCGUUGGUGCUUCUCAAGUUGCUAUGCCCCCAGUGGAAGCUACUUUAGAUGAAGACAGUAGAACAAGUAUUCAAAGUGGUAUCAGUGGACUCAGUGAACAAAAUUCAAGCACAACACCUAGUCUAAGUUCCAAACAAGGCAGCAGUCAACCUCAAAUGAACACUGGUGAGGUCACCUCUCAUACAGACCAGUUACCACACAGUCAUACUGGAGAAGAACCCUCCCCUGGACCCUCGGGGCUCCAUAAACCGCAGUCAAAAGAAGAACCAGAAUUUGAAAUUAAACAAGAAGAUGUGGUAGACCUAGGUGAAGAUGAUGAAGGGGAUUGGGGUGUAGAAGGGGAUGGGGGAGGGGGUGACUCCUCUGUUGGGUCAGAAAACCCCCCCAAUUUCCCUGAAGUCAUGUUACCCCACACAGAUGGCUCCAUGCCCCCCACUGGAGACCCAGCAAUGGCCGGGGGCAGCCUGGACGUAGGAAGGGACUUUAGGGGAGGCGCGAACCCGAUGUUUGUGGUAGAGGGUGUAGAAGUGCUGCCUUGUCCGCUGUGUGGCCGGCUACUACAUACUCGUUCGAGGUUCCGAAGUCACCUUGAAUAUUGUCGGCGUGCUGCCAAUCCUCAGUUCGCCUGCCAGACCUGCCACAAGUCCUUCGCUUAUCGUAAGGACCUAGAGAAACAUGUACGCACACACACGGGCGAAAGACCGUACCCAUGCCAUUAUUGUACGUACCGAUUUGCGGACCGUAGCAGUUUGGUGAAGCACCGGCGUCGACACCAUCCUGCGGCCACAUCCUGAGGACAGACGAGAUGGAGUGCCAUUUUGUGACACACAUCAAAAUAAUAAAUGGUGGCUCUGUGGCGGGUGCAGGAAUGGCUCACGACCAUACUCGGCACAGCUCACAGGGCAUCGGGGGAGUAGGGCACUAUGUAUCUUUAUGCAGGGAUGACCGACUACAAGCUGGCCAGUUAAAAAGGACAUGGGCUGGAG